UCGGUAAGGGGUGGGGAGUGCGUUCCAUUAGGUAGUAGGCGGGGUAACGGCCCACCUAGCCGAUGAUGGAUAGGGGUUCUGAGAGGAAGGUCCCCCACAUUGGAACUGCGACACGGUCCAAACUCCUACGGGAGGCAGCAGUGAGGAAUAUUGGUCAAUGGGCGAGAGCCUGAACCAGCCAAGUAGCGUGCAGGAUGACGGCCCUAUGGGUUGUAAACUGCUUUUUGUGCGGGAAUAACGUUGCGUUUCGUGAACGCAAGUGCAUGUACCGUACGAAUAAGGAUCGGCUAACUCCGUGCC
Molecule: ribosomal RNA, 300 nt
Filed under: uncultured bacterium
Lineage: Bacteria
Description: bacterial SSU rRNA
Rfam family: Bacterial small subunit ribosomal RNA
Source: RNAcentral